GUGGGGAAUAUUGCGCAAUGGGCGAAAGCCUGACGCAGCGACGCCGCGUGAGGGAUGAAGGUUUUCGGAUCGUAAACCUCUGUCAGAAGGGAAGAAACUACAUUGUGCUAAUCAGCAGUGUACUGACGGUACCUUCAAAGGAAGCACCGGCUAACUCCGUGCCAGCAGCCGCGGUAAUACGGAGGGUGCAAGCGUUAAUCGGAAUUACUGGGCGUAAAGCGCACGUAGGCUGUAGUGUAAGUCAGGGGUGAAAUCCCACGGCUCAACCGUGGAACUGCCUUUGAUACUGCACAACUUGAAUCCGGGAGAGGGUGGCGGAAUUCCAGGUGUAGGAGUGAAAUCCGUAGAUAUCCGGAGGAACACCGGUGGCGAAGGCGGCCACCUGGACAGGUACUGACGCUGAGGCGCGAAAGCGUGGGGAGCAAACAGGAUUAGAUACCCGAGUAGUCC
RNAcentral lists this ribosomal RNA (450 nucleotides) under uncultured bacterium. RNAcentral describes it as "partial 16S ribosomal RNA". It matches the Rfam family "Bacterial small subunit ribosomal RNA", at positions 354 to 796 of the family's 1533-position model. The record is from RNAcentral.